CGUUAUGGAAUGUAUUUUGUAAGGUCCCAUCCCGCCGCAUCCCUCGCCGAUUUGAACGGUUGAGAUCUGUCCGAACUGGGUCCCGAAGAUUGGUUAAAGGUAAAACAGAGAGAGCUUAAAGAGAGAAAGACAAAGACUGAAACUUGUAAUCUUAUUGCUCAAAGGUUUUAGGUUACAAAGCUAAUGUAUUUAAAGACUGUAAAGAAGGAUCUAGACACAGGCCAGCCAGCUGUCUUCUUAGGAACCAUCAACGGUCAAGAGAGCAUAUCGGUUGUGCAGCUGCAAUCUCUGCCUCUCCGUACUCUUUGAGCUGCAUCUUUGAAUACGGUUUGUUGCAGAGACAGCUACUGCUUCUUUGUCUCUAUUCACCAUUUGAAUGGGCUUCGUAGUGGGCUUCGUCUUAUGGCAUUGGGCUGCCAUAACCCUCUGUUUCUGAGCUACGUUAAUAUUGGUUUCCAUUGAUCUUUCUUGAUCAGAAGAGGCGACGAGAACCCGCAACAUGACGGUACAGCAGCGACGUCGUUUUCUUCGUCCGACGACUCAUCAAACUCUUCAGACUUAGCCCACGACUUGGUGCAGAGUAAUACAAGAAAGAGAAGAACAAAGAGUGGUAACACCGUAAACUUAGUCAUCUCUGUAAUUUUUCUAAUAAAUGUUUAUGCUAUCCGCUGCGUAUUAAAUCGUACAAUAUAAAGGGAACGGGAGAAAUAGACACUGUAGGGUAUACAAUCACUACGUGUUUUAAUUGUUUGUACACGUGCUUGUAUUACGUCGACAAGUGCAUGGUUCUUUGAUAACAAUUUAAAUUACCCGCUAAGAUACAAAGCUCAAAUUUUAAAAAUCGGGAUGAUAAGAACCGUUGAUGAUAGUAGAGCUGAGACAUAGUUUGUAUCGCAAGACCAAUUAUAUGUCGGGCGUCAGGGGUUUAAAAUAUUGUAUUUUCCACUGAAGUCGUGUUACCAACUUACCAUGCAUGGGCCACUUCGUCCAAGGGAACGCAUACGUGAUUCAUUUCUUUAUUGGUGCUUGGCUGAAAGCCAACAAAAGAUAAAAUUUUGUCGUAACGUUUUUCAAAGGGUAAAAUGUUUGAUGGAUCACAAUCGUUUAGUGUUUGGGCCAAAAACCAAACGUAUGCCUGCACUUGGGUGGCAACCAACUAUACUUGCAUGCAUUAGAAUUGAGAUCGUCAUUCUCAUCAUAUUUUCUAUUACUGGAUACUGUAACGUACGUUCUCAACUUCGUUUCCAUCUAAAAACAUCUUUUUUUACAGGCAACAAAGCAAAACCUGAAAUUGGUAUGCUAAAGCUCUCGAUGCAUUUCUUAACACAUGUUUUAAUAUUUAAAAAAAUACUAACCAAUAAGAAAAUGAGAAGUUAUUGCACAGUUGAUUAAAUAAUGCUUCAACUGUCUCUUGUUGAAGAGAAUUCUCUUUCCUCUCACAUCACUUUUCCUAUUUUUCUGAAUUAUUUCAUUUAUUCUUUUUACAAGAAACCUUUCUAGAUACAUGUCCCUGCGGAUGUCUUUAGAACAUGUUUAUUGGUAGCUUUUAAGUAGGGUUCUUAGGUAAAUUUAGAUUAAAAUUAAAUGAAAAACACCAAUUAGCGUUGCUUAGAGCACCUUUAUCCCAGAAACGUGAUUGGGUUUCUAAUUUUCUAAUUUUUAUUUUAUUUUUUCUGAUUUAUAAGAGACGCUCAGCAGAUACUCUUAAUUAACUGAGCGAAGAGCCCGUUCCUUAGUGCCACGUGUCUGAAGUUCAUAGGAGAGAGGAGAGGUGGUGCUCUCGGUUUCGCCUAUUCUCUUCUUUCCCUUCUUGGAGACAGAUCGGGUCUGAUCUUCACGCGAAGAGAGUCGGGGUCAGCCCAAUUCACGAUCAGGAUGAGGAAUCGAUGGGCUAGGGCUAAUAUCAGUGCUCGUGUUGCUUCUCUCCAAUCUCUGAAACUCGAUGUCUUCGCGCUUCAGGGUCUCAAACCAGCAGCUGAUCUCCGUUGUCACGUUCUGUUGGAAGCUCGAGGCGUCUACAGCGGUGAUGUCAAACCGGAGAAUCUGCGUUUAGACCAGAAGCGGACAUCUUCAAUCGACAGUGGCUAGGUUAGAUGAAUGGAGAGUCAGAAGAAGAGAUACUGAGGAAUAGAUGCGACACAUGCAAUUACCACAGAAGUUACAAGAGCGUGUGAGGUGGUUCGUCCAAUACAAAUGGUUAACCACUCGUGGAGUCGAUGAAGAAGCCAUCCUCCGUGCUCUACCAUUGGAUCUCCCCUUGUCCACGAGAACCGUGAGAAGUCUCUCUGAAGUUGAAGCUUUCGCUCUCAGAGCUGAGGACUUAAAGUUCGUAGCUAAUCAAUUCAGACGCCUCCACAGCAACAAACUCCAACAUGCUUUCAGAUACUAUUUGCAUCAAUGGAGGGCUUGGGGAACUGGUUUUAUACAAGCUGCAUGGAGACGAUACAUGAAGAGGAAUUUAAGUGUAUCUCCAACUCAUAGCUCUUUUGUCUUAUCUUUCAUAAUAGGAAACAUAUAAUAAUUUCUUGAUUAUAACAAUAUUUAAGAGCAUGACAACAAGGAGUGAAAGGUGCUUUGACUAUUGCAGCAGAGAUGUUUGAGUUGACACCGUCGUUGGUUGUUGUUGAGGUGAAGAAGAAAGGAAAAGAUAUAACAUAGUACGAAGAGUUUUUGUAACAGUGAAUUGAAACCCAUGUUGCAGAAUCUGACAGCUGAUGAUGUGAAAGAGCCUGUAGCGGUUUCAGCGGUUGAUGUAAUCUGGAAAGAAAACGGUGUUCCUCUAUUGGUUCCUCUCCUCGACCACGGAAGACGGCGAGAUCUCUCUCAUGGUAGCUUUUGGAGAGGAAGAAAAACGGUGACUGUUAAUGCUCAGACAAAUCGAAAGGUAAAAAUGAGUUUUAAUGUUUGAAUAUUUCAAUUAUGCAUGUCUUAAUAAUUUCAAUUAGAUUAUCGUUUAUUUUAGUAAUCUUUGUUUUUAUGUUUUUAUGUUUCUUUUAAAUCUAUGUUUAAAAUGUUAUGUUUGACUUUGUUUUAUUUAAUAAAUAAAUUUAAUCUUUAUUUAAAAUUUUAUGUUAAAAAUUAAUUUAAUAUUUUUUAUUGUUAAGAGCUUUUAUUAAGAAACUACAAUUAAACCAUUAUAAUUAAGUGUCUCUUAACAAAGUUUCUUAUCUCACUUUUAAGAGUUAAAAAUUCACUGAGAACCCGUAAGUGGGUUUUACCAAUAAACAUGCUCUAAGAAACUACCAUUAAGAGAUGUAAUAGACGUCUUUUAGCUUUUUAGGUUGGGUCUAAGAAACUAACAUUAAAAAGCUAAGAAACUAUCAUUUAAAAGCUAAAAGACCGUAUAUUAUAUUAUGCUAAGAGACCCAACCUAAGAGACCUGCAAUAAACAUGCUCUUAGAGCAGCAAUGUGGUUUCUCAGCUCCUCUCUUAAACAUACAAUAAUAAUAUAAUUUAGCAUUUUAACUAAAAUUUAAAUAGAAAAGCCCUAAAUUAAUUACGUGUUGACACCUUGUAGAAAAAGCUCUCACACUCUUGAAAACAUCUCUGAGAGAAGAAUCGUUUCCCUCUAUCUCUCCUACUUUCCCUCCCUCUCUCCUCUUUUGUCUAGUUGCUUUAUAUUACUAAGACCAAGAUUAAUUCGGGCUCUUAGGGUAGGAUUCUUAGCUUCGGUUAAGAACCGUCCCUUAAAUAAGAGAUAUAAGAACCCGCUCUUAGCCAAAAAAUGUAAAAAAAAAAUAAAAAGUGUUAAAUCAUGAGUUAAGAACUCUAAAUUAAGAACCCGGGAUAAUCAUGCUCUUAGAUAACAAAUUAUAUUUUGGAGAUACAUAUGUGUGAUCGUAGACAAAGAAACAAUAAAUAAGAACCAAAGGAAAGAUAUAUGCGUACAAACUACAAAUUAAGAUUAUCUAAAAUGAAUGAUAACAUAUUACAAAUCCUCAUGAUAAAAGGAUAUUAACUAAUAAUAAACGUGUAAUAUAGUUUCAAAAAUAAAUAAAUAAACAAACGUGUAAUAUAGAAUAUGUUGCAAUAUAGAACAUCCUCCAUGUGAUAAAAAAACAUUCUCCAUUUAUUUUUUAGUCGGUGCAUUAUUGACUAUAUAUUAAUCUUUUAUUAGCUGAAUUUCUUAUUUUAAUGUACGCCGAAUUUUUGAUCCAAAAAAAAAAUGUACGCCGAAUUCAUAACACCAGCUAAAUUUACAGUGGUGAAAAAAUUUCUACUGCACUUUACAAAGCUGACUGAAUAUAUGCUUUGUUUCAUUCACUACAAGAAAACAACGGUAUUCUGACGGACGUUCCGACGGAAAAUGAAUUCCUCGGAAUAUACCGAGGAAUUUCCGAGGCAAUUCCGAGGAAACACAAAAUUUGGCUUCCUCGGAAUUUCCUCGGAAUAUUCCGACGGAAUUCCGAGGAAAAUUCAUCUCGUCGGAAUAUUCCGACGGAAUACUGAGGAAACUAGUAUUCCUCGGAAAAAACCGAUGAAUUCCGAGGAAAUAUUAUAGACGUUAGAGAGCCGUUGGAGAGCCGUUGGGGGAUUUUAAAAAUUCCGAGGAAAUUCCGACGAACUAGCCGUUUGCAUCGGAAUUCCGUCAGAAUUUCUUCGGACCGUCGGCAAGAUUUCAACUAUAAAUACAAGCACCCCUCUUCCUCUUCAUUCACUCCAUAUCUUCAUCCUCCCUCUCACUUUCUUUACACACGAAUUUGAUUCUUAAA
Brassica rapa (field mustard) is the source of this 4712-nucleotide RNA transcript. RefSeq lists it as uncharacterized. The record is from RefSeq and is a predicted model, not a curated record. NCBI's taxonomy places the organism in Eukaryota, Viridiplantae, Streptophyta, Magnoliopsida, Brassicales, Brassicaceae.